This 74-nucleotide transfer RNA is filed under the name Candidatus Terrybacteria bacterium RIFCSPLOWO2_01_FULL_40_23. RNAcentral describes it as "tRNA-Trp". It matches the Rfam family "tRNA". From Rfam's summary of the family: Transfer RNA (tRNA) molecules are approximately 80 nucleotides in length. Their secondary structure includes four short double-helical elements and three loops (D, anti-codon, and T loops). Further hydrogen bonds mediate the characteristic L-shaped molecular structure. tRNAs have two regions of fundamental functional importance: the anti-codon, which is responsible for specific mRNA codon recognition, and the 3' end, to which the tRNAs corresponding amino acid is attached (by aminoacyl-tRNA synthetases). tRNAs cope with the degeneracy of the genetic code in two manners: having more than one tRNA (with a specific anti-codon) for a particular amino acid; and 'wobble' base-pairing, i.e. permitting non-standard base-pairing at the 3rd anti-codon position. The record is from RNAcentral. Lineage: Bacteria; Candidatus Terryibacteriota.
GGGGGCUUAGUUAAAUGGUAUAAUAGUGGUCUCCAAAACCACGGUUGGGAGUUCGAUUCUCUCAGCCCCCGCAA